GGCAGUCGUCGGAGAGGGGAAGGGAAGAAGGUGGGUUAUAAAAAAGACAUCGAUAGCGUCAAUUUUUUUUAAAAUUUAAAUUUAUGAUUAAUUUUUUAGUUUGCAAAAUAUUAAAAAAAUUUACGAUCAAAAAAUCGAUCGUAAAAUACUUGAAUUAUUUUUUUUAAUCUAUAAAUAAUUUUACGAUCGAUUUUUCAAUCAC
RNAcentral lists this long non-coding RNA (202 nucleotides) under Elaeis guineensis (African oil palm). Its description in RNAcentral is "long non-coding RNA (EGUI_LNC003586)". The record is from RNAcentral. Lineage: Eukaryota; Viridiplantae; Streptophyta; Magnoliopsida; Arecales; Arecaceae.